AUUGAACGCUGGCGGCAUGCCUUACACAUGCAAGUCGAACGGUAACAGGUUAAGCUGACGAGUGGCGAACGGGUGAGUAAUAUAUCGGAACGUGCCCAGUCGUGGGGGAUAACGUAGCGAAAGCUACGCUAAUACCGCAUACGAUCUACGGAUGAAAGCGGGGGAUCGCAAGACCUCGCGCGAUUGGAGCGGCCGAUAGCAGAUUAGGUUGUUGGUGCGGGAAAAGCUCACCAAGCCUGCGAUCUGUAGCUGGUCUGAGAGGACGACCAGCCACACUGGAACUGAGACACGGUCCAGACUCCUACGGGAGGCAGCAGUGGGGAAUUUUGGACAAUGGACGCAAGUCUGAUCCAGCAAUGCCGCGUGCAGGACGAAGGCCUUCGGGUUGUAAACUGCUUUUGUACGGAACAAAACGGUGAGCUCUAAUACAGUUUGCUAAUGACGGUACCGUAAGAAUAAGCACCGGCUAACUACGUGCCAGCCGCCGCAGUAA
Molecule: ribosomal RNA, 493 nt
Filed under: uncultured bacterium
Lineage: Bacteria
Description: partial 16S ribosomal RNA
Rfam family: Bacterial small subunit ribosomal RNA
Source: RNAcentral